Long non-coding RNA from Olea europaea var. sylvestris, 1142 nucleotides. RefSeq lists it as uncharacterized. The transcript has 2 exons. The record is from RefSeq and is a predicted model, not a curated record. NCBI's taxonomy places the organism in Eukaryota, Viridiplantae, Streptophyta, Magnoliopsida, Lamiales, Oleaceae.
CAGCAAACUCCAAUUACUCCACCAAAUUGACUCUUAAUUUCUCAUUCUCAAAUCCCAACUCCAGAAGCCGCAAAGUGCAAACCCUUUUCCUUCUCCCUUUCUAAUUCCGUUCAACUGCGCUGCCAGUCAUUAGCCAAGACCAGAAACUUAAAGCCUGGUUCUACUUCUGUCGAGUCCGACUGUCGUUCCGAGGUUUGAACUUUUCGUUCUGGUAAGCAGACUACAGACAGCAGGGUGAAGAGAAUUCAGCUUCGCUUGGGGACUGGUUUGGGAGAUAUAAUAAAAGAAGGAAACAAGUAAUUCCUGCAGGAUUGUGCAUGCAUCUUUGUUCGCCGUCAUCUGUAAGAUAGAUUGAAAAUUGAAUAUCUCACUGAAAAAGAUCUAUAGUUUAUUUGAAAAAAUUAACUCAGAGAUUUGAUCAUCAGGGGACUAUAGUUCUCUCCAAAGCCCACUAUGAGUAGAUACACCUUCGUUUGCAAGAUUUCAAAACUUCUAGCGAGUACAAUUCUAAACUGUUCAAAAUUAACCUUUUGUAGAAGAAAAACACCGAUGCAGAUAUGUUGUAGAAAACUUUUUCCACAUUUCACGCAUCAAAUGUGCUCCUACAGCAACAAUAUUGUGAGCGUGAUUCAAAACGUACUCAGAACUUAUAUCUUGCUUACUUUUUGUUGGAGAGAAUAAUGAACUCCUGAUGAAAAAUCAUGGAUUACGUUCAAGUGGUUCUGUACCAUUGCCUGAAGCUAUACAUGGAUAAUAUCAAGACAAGAAUGUGGAUGUGGACGUGCACGUGGAAUAAACCAACAAAAUUAUCAACUACAAGGCAAUUAUUUCAAGAGGCACAAAGCAAACGAAAAUAGCACAUCCAAAAAGGGGGUAGAAGAAAGUCGCUUUAAAUGUGGAACGAAUGGGCAUUGGACAUGUACCCAUCGCACAACAAAAUAUCUUGUAGAUCUCUACAAAAAAUCAAUCAAGAGAAAGAGAAAAAUUGAGACAAAUUUUGUUGACUAUGAUGAUUCAAUUGAUGUGAUUCAUUUGAAUGUCUCCGAUUUUUUGCCGAUCCAAAUGAGAAUAUUAAUCAUUUGAUUGGAGGUGGUGUGAUGGAAAAUAUAGAUUAGUUUAUUUAUAUCUCUAACAUUUUUUUU